Cherax quadricarinatus is the source of this 694-nucleotide non-coding RNA. The record is from RefSeq and is a predicted model, not a curated record. NCBI's taxonomy places the organism in Eukaryota, Metazoa, Arthropoda, Malacostraca, Decapoda, Parastacidae.
UGUUGCAGAAGUAGCGCGAGAAGCUUGGAUAGAAACUCUUGAUCCUAGUGGAGAAAAUCUUCACGUGGGCCUCAUUCAUUUACAUCCCAAAGUGUUUGCUACCUACCCAAGGCUAGAUAUCAUCCAUGAAAAUGUAGUCUGGCAGCAGAAGUAUCGCAUGGUGAAUACUUCACAUACCAAACUGCGUCAGAGGUUCGAGGAGGGGGUAGGAAACCAUGGCCACAAAAGGGAACAGGACGAGCAAGACAUGGUUCCAUUCGUUCGCCAUUGUGGAAAGGUGGGGGUGUGGUACAUGGCCCAAGAGCAUUCACCACGCAGUUCUACAUGUUGUCAUUUGAAAAAGAAUAAUGGGCCUUACCUCCACUUUAUCAGCUAAAUUUGCACAGGUGAUGCUCUGUAUAAGAACUUUGCAUUAGUUUGAGUGCAUGGAUUAGCUGAAUUUUCUUCAUCAUUUGUAUACUGUAAUGCAAAGUUUUUUUUUUAACACAGCCAUCUCCCACCAAGGUAGGGUGGCCCAAAAAAAACGAAAACACUGUCACCAUUAUUCACACAUAAUCACUGUCUUUGCAGAGGCACUCGGAUAUGACAGUUCAGAUGUCACUCCAAACAGCAAAUAUCCCAGAUUUUUUUUUUUUUUUUUUUUCUCCCAACAAGUCUGCCGUUUCCCACCGAGGCAGGGUGACCCAAAAAAGAA